RNAcentral lists this ribosomal RNA (60 nucleotides) under uncultured organism. Its description in RNAcentral is "partial 16S ribosomal RNA". The record is from RNAcentral.
UUGCCUUGACAUCCAAUGAACUUUCUAGAGAUAGAUUGGUGCCUUCGGGAACAUUGAGAC